Long non-coding RNA from Papaver somniferum (opium poppy), 449 nucleotides. RefSeq lists it as uncharacterized. NCBI's taxonomy places the organism in Eukaryota, Viridiplantae, Streptophyta, Magnoliopsida, Ranunculales, Papaveraceae. The record is from RefSeq and is a predicted model, not a curated record. The transcript has 2 exons.
GUUCCUCUUCUCUUCUUCAUUCAAUUAUUUAGAGAGUAAAGAAGAAAAUCAGUUAAAAGAGAUAGAGUUUGAGCUGAAGAAAUCGUCAAGGAGUUUUUGAAUUCGACGAAAACCUUGAGUCAGUGAGAUGGCACAAGUUCAGGAAUUUCAAGUGGAUGAGCAACUUGAAGAUGUUCAGAUUGACAUCAGAAGCCUUCUGCAGAAGAAGGAUAACAAGGAUGAUGAUGAGAAGAAAGAAGACGAAAUAAGAUUGUUAGGGAUUAAGGCUUUAGAAGUUGAGAGGAUCAAAAAAGUUGAUGAUAUAAGAAACAAAGUUUUACAAUGGUUUACCAUAUUUACUUUGCUCCUUGCAGCAUAUGUUAAUUUUAUUUGCGAUGUUUAAGUAAUGCUUCUGGAUCAGAGUCAUGUUAUAUUUCUCAGAACACUACUAGAAUCCUUAUUUGAAUCUU